RNAcentral lists this ribosomal RNA (333 nucleotides) under uncultured soil bacterium. RNAcentral's name for it is "bacterial SSU rRNA". It matches the Rfam family "Bacterial small subunit ribosomal RNA", at positions 26 to 363 of the family's 1533-position model. The record is from RNAcentral.
AGAUUGAACGCUGGCGGCAGGCCUAACACAUGCAAGUCGAGCGGUAGAGAGGUGCUUGCACCUCUUGAGAGCGGCGGACGGGUGAGUAAUGCCUAGGAAUCUGCCUAGUGGUGGGGGAUAACGUUCGGAAACGGACGCUAAUACCGCAUACGUCCUACGGGAGAAAGCGGGGGACCUUCGGGCCUCGCGCCAUUAGAUGAGCCUAGGUCGGAUUAGCUAGUUGGUGAGGUAAUGGCUCACCAAGGCGACGAUCCGUAACUGGUCUGAGAGGAUGAUCAGUCACACUGGAACUGAGACACGGUCCAGACUCCUACGGGAGCAGCAGUGGGAAUA